GACGAACGCUGGCGGCGUGCUUAACACAUGCAAGUCGAACGGAAAGGCCCUGCUUUUGUGGGGUGCUCGAGUGGCGAACGGGUGAGUAACACGUGAGUAACCUGCCCUUGACUUUGGGAUAACUUCAGGAAACUGGGGCUAAUACCGGAUAGGAGCUCCUGCUGCAUGGUGGGGGUUGGAAAGUUUCGGCGGUUGGGGAUGGACUCGCGGCUUAUCAGCUUGUUGGUGGGGUAGUGGCUUACCAAGGCUUUGACGGGUAGCCGGCCUGAGAGGGUGACCGGCAAAAUGGGGAUAGAAGUAAGGGAGGGACUGAGGCGGGAGGAGGCAGGGGGGGAUAGGGGAAGAUGGGUGGAAGAAGGAGGCAGGAAAGCGGCUGGGGGGAGGAGGGGGGGGGGGUGGUAAACAGAGAUAGACGGGGAAGAAGGGUGAGAGAAGGGGAUGGGUAAAAGAGAAGAGGAGAGGUAAGUG
Molecule: ribosomal RNA, 468 nt
Filed under: uncultured bacterium
Lineage: Bacteria
Description: partial 16S ribosomal RNA
Rfam family: Bacterial small subunit ribosomal RNA (bases 20-332)
Source: RNAcentral